CCCCCUCUUCGGGAGCGUCAUGACAACAAGGUGCUCCCAUGGGCUGUCGUCAUGCUCAUGUACGUGAGAUGUUGGGUUAAGUCCCCGCAACGAGCGCAACCCUUACCUUUAGUUGCCAGCGAGUCAUGUCGGGGACUCUAGGGGGACUGCCGGUACCAAACCGGAGGAAGGUGGGGAUGAUCGUCAAGUCAUCAUGGUCCUUACGUCUAGGGCUACACACGUGCUACAAUGGCAGGUACGGAGGGCUGCGAAGGGGCAACCUGGAGCCAAUCCCCAAAGCCUGCCUCAGUUCGGACUGUCGGCUGCAACUCGCCGGCAUGAAGCUGGAAUCGCUAGUAAUCGCGGAUCAGCUACGUCCGCGGUGAAUACGUUCUCCGGGCCUUGUACACACCGCCCGUCACGCCAUGGAAGCUGUGAGCGCCUUGGCAGUCAGGUGCCGGAA
This 442-nucleotide ribosomal RNA is filed under the name uncultured bacterium. RNAcentral describes it as "bacterial SSU rRNA". It matches the Rfam family "Bacterial small subunit ribosomal RNA", at positions 1008 to 1443 of the family's 1533-position model. The record is from RNAcentral.